GGGUUUUUGGUGGGUAGCGGCGUGGCGCGGGGGUAGCAGCAGUAGCAACGCAUCAGGAGCAUUUGGUUAGCUAGGCAGUUUCAGGGGAGAGCUUUGCUGCCGCUGGUCGCUGUGCAUUGAAGAGUUGGAGCUGACCUGCUUGUGGCUUGCUCGGUUCGAGGGUAAGGGUGCCGGGCGUUUGUGCGGCUGGGAGGCGGCUAUCGAAGCUGGGGAGAAAUUAAAGCAGCAAAGGCCCGCGAUUUUAAAGCGGGUUUGUGUGGCUCGCUGCUCGCCGCUACUGUGUUCCUCUCGCAUCGCCUCGUCUCGUCUAGUCUCGUCUGGCUUCUCUUUCUCCCUCUCUCUCUCUCUUGCGAGGUUCUCAGGUCAGGUCAGGUCGCUGCCGCGGGUCUCAGAUCCUUAUCUCCUUGCUUGCUCUGCUGCGGCCUGCGGGAGCGGGGCCAUUCGGAGCCUGGAUAUGGGGUCUGUUGAGCAGUGGGUGGAAGGGGAGGGCGCGCCGAAUCGGAGGUGAUCCGGCCAUGGGGUAGGCUGGGUGGGUGCGGCGGGUAUGGAGGGGUCCCGUGUGGACGCCGUGGCAGGCGGGCGGCGGUGGGGGAAAGGGGAGGAGGGUGGAGGAGGAGGAGGUGGUGGCGGAGGGAGGAGAGGAGGGGAGGACGGGGGUGAGGUGAGCCUGCGGGAGUGGCUGGACCGGCCCGGCCGGGCGGUGGAAGCUCCAGAGUGCCUGCACGUGUUCCGCCAGGUGGCGGAGUCGGUGGCCAUCGCGCACGCGCAGGGGGUGGCCGUAGGCAGCGCGCGUCCCUCGUGCUUCGUCGUGUCGCCGCCCUUCGCCCGCGUCGCGUUCAUCGAGUCCGCCUCCGGCUCGGACGCCUCUGGCUCCUGCUCCGGCUCCGAUGGCUCGGAGGAGGGCGACCCGGACACCUCGCCUCCGCGGCGACGACGAGACGGCGCCGGCCGAGGGGAAGACCGCGGGGGCAAGACGUUCCCGCUGAGGAGCGUGCUGGCGAUGGAGCUCAGCUGGUACACCAGCCCCGAGGAGGCCGACGACAGCGGCGGUGCUACCUUCGCCUCCGACGUGUACAGGUUGGGGGUGCUUUUGUUCGAGCUGUUUUGUACGUUCGAGACGAUGGAGGAGAAGAGGCGAGCAAUGGCGAACCUACGGCACCGUGUCCUACCUCCACAGUUACUGCUCAAGUGGCCCAAGGAAGCAUCCUUCUGUCAGUUGCUGAUGCACCCUGUGCCGGACACCCGACCGAAGAUGGGUGAGGUGCUACAAAGUGAGUUCCUUAAUAGGUCAAGAAAUAGUCUGGAGGAGCGUGAAGCAGCACUUCGAUUACGUGAAGAGAUAGAAGAACAAGAAUUACUGCUGGAUUUUCUUCUGCAACUACAGAGAAGAAAGCAAGAUAUUGCAGACAAUUUGCAGGAUACCGUUGCAUUUCUCUCUGCUGACAUCAAUGAAGCAAUGCACCAGCAGUCAGCUCUGGGGCAAUGUGGAACCUUCUCAUUUGAGUUGGAUAAAGAGGUGUGCUCUGAAACUGUUGAAGAUCAGAGCGAUUGUGGAUCCAGAAAGCGUUUCCGACCAGAGUUACCAGCUGUAGAUAUGGAGGAACAGAAUCGUAGUCUCGAAGAAUGUUCAGGAACAGUUCCAUCAUCUGUGCUAAUCCAGGAAACUGUGUUGUCUAAAAGCUCUAGGCUAAUGAAGAACUUCAAAAAACUUGAAACAGCAUAUUUUCUGACAAGAUCCAAGGUGGCAAAGCAAGUUGGGAAUCCAGUAAGUAGUUGUCAUCAAGUUGUGCGAAGGACUACUGGGUCGCCUGUUGUGACUGAGGGAAGUUCAAUAGAUGAUUUUGCUUUGGAAGGGCAUUAUGGUACAAGGCAAAGAGGUUGGAUGAACUCUUUUCUUGAGGGAUUGUGUAGUUACUUAUCAUUCAGUAAGUUGAAAGUGAAGGCAGAACUGAAGCAGUGCGAUCUGCUGAACUCAUCAAACUUAGUGUGCUCUGUAGGCUUCGACCGGGAUAAAGAGUUCUUUGCAACUGCCGGUGUAAAUAAGAAGAUAAAAGUGUUUGAAUAUAAUAUGAUUGUAAAUGAACAUCGUGAUAUUCACUAUCCUGUAGUUGAGAUGUCUAAUAGAUCAAAAUUAAGUUGUAUUUGCUGGAACAGCUACAUGAAGAGCCAUAUAGCAUCUAGUGACUUUGAAGGUAUCGUACAGGUUUGGGAUGUUACCAGGAGCCAAGUUUUCGUUGAAAUGAGGGAACAUGAGAGGCGUGUGUGGUCGGUGGACUUCUCGCUUGCGGACCCAACAAAAUUGGUUAGCGGGAGUGAUGAUGGUUCAGUGAAGCUGUGGAAUAUGAAUCAGGCAAUUCUAUUCUUGCACCUGGUGCUGGGAGUGUUGGGACUAUCAGAACAAGAGCAAAUGUAUGCUCUGUGCAAUUUCAACCUGAUUCUGCUCGCUCCAUUGCCAUCGGCUCAGCAGAUCACAAAAUUUACUGCUAUGAUCUUCGAAAUAUACGAGCUCCUUAUUGUACAUUACUUGGCCACACAAAAACAGUUAGCUAUGUUAAGUAUGUGGAUGCAUCAACUAUAGUAUCCGCAUCUACUGACAACUCAUUGAAGCUCUGGGACUUGUCCAUGAGCCAGGCAAGGAUAAUUGACAGUCCGCUUCAGACAUUUACAGGUCAUACGAACACAAAGAAUUUCGUUGGACUUUCUAUAUCUGAUGGUUACAUUGCUACUGGCUCAGAGACAAAUGAGGUUUUUGUCUACCAUAAAGCAUUUCCGAUGCCAGUCUUGGCAUAUAAAUUCAGUGUCACAGACCCUAUAUCAGGCCAGGAGAUUGACGAUCCUUCACAGUUCAUUUCAUGCGUGUGUUGGAGAGGGCAGUCUUCAACGCUUCUUUCUGCUAACUCCAGCGGGAACAUUAAAAUCUUAGAAAUGGACUGACCCUGUGCAAACGGUGUGCGCGCGCGCAUCCAGUUUCCAAUAGAAAUGAACUGACUUGACACUAAGGGUGUGUGUGCUCUGGCGUUGAAACUUGGCACUCAAAUGCAGAGAAGUCUAUAGGGUGCGAUGUAACUUUACUAGAGUUGAGAGUUAGGAGAUUGAUAGAACGAGUGGUAGACGUAUCAGAGUUAGCGUAGGGAUUAGAUAGCAAACGUAGCAUAAAUA
This is an RNA transcript of Oryza brachyantha (malo sina), 3159 nucleotides long. It is a transcript of the gene named protein SPA1-RELATED 4, with no coding region annotated. Lineage: Eukaryota; Viridiplantae; Streptophyta; Magnoliopsida; Poales; Poaceae. The transcript is spliced from 7 exons. The record is from RefSeq and is a predicted model, not a curated record.